Molecule: RNA transcript, 1965 nt
Organism: Chenopodium quinoa (quinoa)
Lineage: Eukaryota; Viridiplantae; Streptophyta; Magnoliopsida; Caryophyllales; Amaranthaceae
Exons: 13
Source: RefSeq, a predicted model, not a curated record
AAGUUCAAAUCAAAACAACUCUAGUCGACCAUUCCUAGUCGAUUUCGAGUUGCUCAACUCGAUUAGCACAUGAGACCAUUGAGAUUUGGGUAAGAGCACAAAAUUAGGGCUUAUAACAGUUUUACUUUAUAGUUUGAACAAAUUCCAGAUACACUCCCAAUUCUCGUUCAACAUCUCCGAUCAACCACUCUUCCCUGAGCUUAAUACCCUUCAAUCUCGAGGAGAGAGAAACAAUGGCUGACCGCCGGCGACUGGCAGCAAUUUUGUCGGCAGUCGUCGACGUCAAACCUCACGAAAUCUCCGCGCUUCUUCACUCCGCUGGAUCUUUCUUCUUCAUUUUGAGUGCCUAUUUUGUGGUAUUACCAUUGCGAGAUGAAGGAGCAAUAUCAUUAGGGUUGUCAAAUCUUCCUGAGCUUUUUAUUGGAUCUUUGGUUCUUACUUUGAUUGCUGCACCUCUUUCUACAUUGCUCUUUUCGUUGCCGAAUCUAUCCAAAGGCAGGGCUCUGGUGUUGAUACACAGAUUUUUUAGCUUGUCACUUGUCGUAUUCUUUGUUUUCUGGCAUACUUCAACAAAUGGAUCUUCUACAUCCAGUAAUAAGGAUUUUGUUGGUGUGCAUUCAAGACAUGAUCAAAAUGUUGGCGGCGAGCAUUCCAAUGUUAUGCACUCUAGUUGGGAUGACCUCUCAUGGUAUUACAUCUCAGUGAGAAUUGGUUUAUUCCUUUGGAUUGCUUUGCUGAAUUUGAUAACUAUCUCUUCAACAUGGGCAAGAGUAAUCGAUGUUAUGGAUAGCGAGUCAGGUUCAAGACUGUUUGGGUUUAUUGGUGCGGGUGCUACACUUGGUCAGCUGUUCGGAUCAUUGUUUGCGACUGGAAUGGCUUGGCUGGGAUCUUUUUUACUCUUAGUAGCUGCUUUUCUAAUGGAACUAGCUGCACAAUCUUCUAAAGGAAUUAGUCAAGACACACCCCAUAUUUCUGAGGAAGACACUCCGAUGAUUAAACUGGAUGAUGAACAAAGUGGAGCGAUAAAGAAAACAUUGACGCCCAAGGAAUCUUCUCCAAAUUUUGUUUCUUCUCCAAAAAAUCCUCAACUUUUGGCUAUGUUGGAUGGCUUUAGGCUUAUACUCUCCUCACCUUAUUUGAUAUAUGUAUCACUGUAUCUAUGGCUGAGUGCCGUUGUCUCAUCGUUCUUUUACUUCCAGAAAGUUUCUAUCAUUGCCCUGACAACAUCAAGUGCUGCUGGUAGAAUGAAAUUGUUUGCGGAGAUCAAUAGUUUUAUUGCCCUUUUUAUAUUUUCAGGGCAAAUCACCUUAACGGGUCGCAUACUUACUGUUGCUGGGGUCACUGUUGCAAUUAGCUCUGCUCCCUUAGCUGGUUUACUCAAUUUAGUUGCUAUAUCUGUAUGGCCAACUUGGAUAGUCGUUGGUGUUUGUGAAACCCUGAGGAAGGUUGUUAUGUAUGUUGUAACUAGGCCAGGAAGGGAACUCCUGUUUACUGUUGUUUCACAGGACGAGAAAUACAAAGCCAAGGUGUGCAUAGAUGUAAUUGUGCAAAGGCUUGGAGAUGCCACUGCAGCGGGGAUGUUCAAGCUGUUUUUUGGAUCUUUUGAGGAGAAAACAUCAACUAUAUCACUCUACGCCCUUCCUGUAAGUCUUAAUCUGUGGUGCUCUUACACACUCAUCGCUUGUUCCCACUCACAGGAGGCCUCCUGCCUCUGCAAUGACUGAAUCACAUUAUUUGCUGUAGUUGUAAUGCCCUUUUUUGCAAACAUAUGCUCUCCUCUGGCACAAACUGUUUUGUGGGUUGACGUGCGCCUACUUAUUAUCUCACCUGUCGGAUUCAAAAUUUUCUAGAUAGCGAAGUUGCAGGUGUGUUUAUUGUGGAUACUUACAGCAUUACACUUGGGAAAUCGACGAGAACAAAUGGUAAAGAUUCAGGCUCGUACGGUAACCUCAGAUUGUUGUGAAG